GACCUUCUCUAUGAUUGAAUUGUGAGAUCAUCAGCGGAGCAAACUACAUUUCUGGGAUUCUGUGAGGUCAUCUUUACAACAAAGCAUAUAUUGAAGAUAGAACGUCAGGAGUAGCUGACCCAAGACAGGUGGACCUUCUCUAUGAUUGAAUUGUGAGAUCAUCAGCGGAGCAAACUACAUUUCUGGGCUUCUGUGAGGUCAUCUUUACAACAAAGCAUAUAUUGAAGAUAGAACGUCAGGAGUAGCUGACCCAAGACAGGUAAUUAAUAUUAUUAUUAAUUACAGAUAACUCAGGCUAGACUUUGGUUCUAGACCUGUAGAGGCGCGGUAAUAUGUUUCUGAAAUACAUUAAUAUUUAUUAAAUGUGUUUUCUAUACACGUUCUUCCUAAAGACAUUUUGAGAGCUUGAUGAAUUUAGAUCCUCAUACUACUGUAUGGGUACAGUGGGCCUGAUCAAGACUGAAAUCUGAGCAGGAGAUAGGUGAUAUCUCCUGUAUUAGUAUUCCAAUGAAUGGCCACGAUUCUUAAUUUCUACAAAAGUAGGUGAAAAUUUUCAUUUUCACCUACUUUUGUAUAAAUGUAGGUAAAAUAAAUAGGGCUCUUUGUGAGAAAUCACCCUGCCAAGAAGGCUAGGUGCAAUGAAAUAUUCAUGUGUUUGAGCGCUUGUGUGUUAGGAA
Long non-coding RNA from Pseudophryne corroboree (corroboree frog), 677 nucleotides. RefSeq lists it as uncharacterized. The transcript is spliced from 2 exons. Lineage: Eukaryota; Metazoa; Chordata; Amphibia; Anura; Myobatrachidae. The record is from RefSeq and is a predicted model, not a curated record.